AGCCAGACUCCUACGGGAGGCAGCAGUGGGGAAUAUUGCACAAUGGGCGAAAGCCUGAUGCAGCAACGCCGCGUGAAGGAAGAAGGGUUUCGGCUCGUAAACUUCUCUCAACAGGGACGAAAGAAAUGACGGUACCUGAAUAAGAAGCCCCGGCUAACUACGUGCCAGCAGCCGCGGUAAUACGUAGGGGGCAAGCGUUAUCCGGAUUUACUGGGUGUAAAGGGAGCGUAGACGGCGGUGCAAACCAGAUGUGAAAGCCCGGGGCUCAACCCCGGGACUGCAUUUGGAACUGUGCUGCUAGAGUGUCGGAGAGGCAGGCGGAAUUCCUAGUGUAGCGGUGAAAUGCGUAGAUAUUAGGAGGAACACCAGUGGCGAAGGCGGUCUGCUGGACAGCAACUGACGCUGAGGCGCGAAAGCGUGGGGAGCAAACAGGAUUAGAUACCCCGGUAUCG
This 452-nucleotide ribosomal RNA is filed under the name uncultured bacterium. RNAcentral describes it as "partial 16S ribosomal RNA". It matches the Rfam family "Bacterial small subunit ribosomal RNA", at positions 329 to 793 of the family's 1533-position model. The record is from RNAcentral.